Molecule: ribosomal RNA, 348 nt
Filed under: uncultured bacterium
Lineage: Bacteria
Description: bacterial SSU rRNA
Rfam family: Bacterial small subunit ribosomal RNA
Source: RNAcentral
AGAGUUUGAUCAUGGCUCAGGAUGAACGCUAGCUACAGGCUUAACACAUGCAAGUCGAGGGGCAGCAUUUUAGUUUGCUUGCAAACUGAAGAUGGCGACCGGCGCACGGGUGAGUAACACGUAUCCAACCUGCCGAUAACUCCGGAAUAGCCUUUCGAAAGAAAGAUUAAUACCGGAUGGCAUACGAAUAUCGCAUGAUAUUUUAUUAAAGAAUUUCGGUUAUCGAUGGGGAUGCGUUCCAUUAGUUGUUGGCGGGGUAACGGCCACCAAGACUACGAUGGAUAGGGGUUCUGAGAGGAAGGUCCCCCANAUUGGAACUGAGACACGGUCCAAACUCCUACGGGAGCA